RNAcentral lists this ribosomal RNA (495 nucleotides) under uncultured bacterium. RNAcentral describes it as "partial 16S ribosomal RNA". It matches the Rfam family "Bacterial small subunit ribosomal RNA", at positions 28 to 507 of the family's 1533-position model. The record is from RNAcentral.
GACGAACGCUGGCGGCGUGUCUAAUACAUGCAAGUAGAACGCUGAAGGAGGAGCUUGCUUCUCUGGAUGAGUUGCGAACGGGUGAGUAACGCGUAGGUAACCUGCCUGGUAGCGGGGGAUAACUAUUGGAAACGAUAGCUAAUACCGCAUAAUAGCAGUUGUUGCAUGAUAACUGUUUGAAAGGUGCAAUUGCACCACUACCAGAUGGACCUGCGUUGUAUUAGCUAGUUGGUGGGGUAACGGCUCACCAAGGCGACGAUACAUAGCCGACCUGAGAGGGUGAUCGGCCACACUGGGACUGGGACAAGGCCCAAAAUCCUACGGGAGGCAGCAGGAGGGAAUCUUCGGCAAUGGACGGAAGUCUGACCGAGCAACGCCGCGGGAGUGAAGAAGGGUUUCGGAUCGUAAAGCUCUGUUGUAAGAGAAGAACGAGUGUGAGAGUGGAAAGUUCACACUGUGACGGUAUCUUACCAGAAAGAGACGGCUAACUACGUG